This is a non-coding RNA of Monodelphis domestica (gray short-tailed opossum), 1176 nucleotides long. The record is from RefSeq and is a predicted model, not a curated record. NCBI's taxonomy places the organism in Eukaryota, Metazoa, Chordata, Mammalia, Didelphimorphia, Didelphidae.
CCCCGCCCUUUCUCUUCUAGGCUCGCGCGGCUCCCUUAAACUGGCGGACACGGAAGCCCCCUUUGGCUAGCGGCGCUGUCGGGCCCUCGCAGCGAUCCCGGCGCACUCCGGCAGCUCGUCGCUGAGCUCCCGGGAGGGAAGAGCCCAAAUUCCUCCAGGGGACCCGAGGACGGAGCGUCGGAGUUGGCUUUACGACGGUUAACAGCCACACCACCAGGGGGAGCACCUUGAAGAGAAAGCGUGUGCCCAAGGGUGCCCAUGGUCCGAGGAUGUGCCGUGUGGGGCUGCUUUCCAAGGCGCCAACCCCUGGGCCGCCAGGCUCUCUGCUGGGCACCUCCGCUGUCCUGUGGUCCCCGUGUGCAGGGCCUCGUUGGGGUUACCUGCUGCUUCCCAGCAUGCCGUCUCUUCUCUUGGGACUCAGCCACCCACAAGCGUCUCCCUGAGAGCGUUUAUGGCUCCUAACGCCUUCCGCACCGGACGCCCCGGAAUCAGUACUUGGGCUGCUGCCGGCUCCCUGGAUAGCUGCGCGUGUCCUGGACUGCUGGCCACAAGCAGGGCCCGAGAGGCCACCGGCAGACAAGUACCACCGCAGGGACUGACCAAGGCCACGGACCAUCGGAAACGCCCUGCUUGUGCUUCGGGCCCUUUCCGGGGAGCCCCCACACUCUGGCUCCUCCGCGGAAACCUAGCUCUGGGAAUACAGACUAGGAAGCCGCUGAUUUCCUGCUUCCUUCCGUGUCUACUUCCUACCAAGUGUCGGCUCCGAGCAGGAGAGCAGCAGGGGCUAGGACAUGGGGUGAGGCUGGCACGGGCCCGCACCCCAGACGCCCAGCCGACUACUGCCAGGGGAGCUGGCUGCCCUUGCAUCCUGGUGCCUCUGAACCCAGCAACCCCAAUGACCCCCCCCCAGGCUCCUCUAGACCCCCUUUUGUCCUCUAGAUGUAAGGGGGACAAAGAGAUGAAUCUUGGUCAGAUGAGGCCCCACCCCACCCCGCCAAGGGCCUGAGGGCACCCAUCUAAAGAGUAUAAAACCCCCAGAACCCAUGUCGCUGGGGGACGGCCUCUCCAUCCAGGCUGUCCUCCCAGGGACUGCCCCCCACCUUGCUGGCCCACCCUGCUAUCCUCCUGGCCACUCUAGACACUACUCUCUAAAUGAAUAAAUCUCUUUGUUUUUAA